Salmo salar (Atlantic salmon) is the source of this 299-nucleotide non-coding RNA. The record is from RefSeq and is a predicted model, not a curated record. Lineage: Eukaryota; Metazoa; Chordata; Actinopteri; Salmoniformes; Salmonidae.
UUGUGAGACCAUAUGCUGGUGCGGUUGGCCCUGGGUUCCUCCUAAUGCAAGACAAUACUGAUUUUUUUAGCAUGGCUCGUGUGGCCCACUCUGGGAUGGCUGCAGAUGAAAUAGCCGAGAAUAUCGAAUCGGCUGUUAGCACCGUUGUGACCAAACUACGCAUGAAAGGACCAUUGAUUAAGAUCAUCCACCUGAAGAGCCAGUCAUCAGUAGCUCUGCCCAUCUACACCUCUAACAUUAACCACCUGACCCUCUUAGAGGAGACACAGAAACAGGCCCGUGCAGCCAUGGAUGCCAAG